RNAcentral lists this ribosomal RNA (464 nucleotides) under uncultured bacterium. Its description in RNAcentral is "bacterial SSU rRNA". It matches the Rfam family "Bacterial small subunit ribosomal RNA", at positions 331 to 792 of the family's 1533-position model. The record is from RNAcentral.
CCAGACUCCUACGGGAGGCAGCAGUGAGGAAUAUUGGUCAAUGGGCGCGAGCCUGAACCAGCCAAGUCGCGUGAGGGAUGACGGCCCUACGGGUUGUAAACCUCUUUUGUCGGGGAGCAAAUUCCGCCACGUGUGGCGGAGUCGAGAGUACCCGAAGAAAAAGCAUCGGCUAACUCCGUGCCAGCAGCCGCGGUAAUACGGAGGAUGCGAGCGUUAUCCGGAUUUAUUGGGUUUAAAGGGUGCGUAGGCGGUCCGUUAGGUCAGCGGUAAAAUUGGGGGGCCCAACCCCGUCGAGCCGUUGAAACUGGCAGACUUGAGUUGGCGAGAAGUACGCGGAAUGCGCGGUGUAGCGGUGAAAUGCAUAGAUAUCGCGCAGAACUCCGAUUGCGAAGGCAGCAUACCGGCGCCCAACUGACGCUGAAGCACGAAAGCGUGGGUAUCGAACAGGAUUAGAUACCCCGGUA